RNAcentral lists this transfer RNA (69 nucleotides) under Bos taurus (domestic cattle). It matches the Rfam family "tRNA". From Rfam's summary of the family: Transfer RNA (tRNA) molecules are approximately 80 nucleotides in length. Their secondary structure includes four short double-helical elements and three loops (D, anti-codon, and T loops). Further hydrogen bonds mediate the characteristic L-shaped molecular structure. tRNAs have two regions of fundamental functional importance: the anti-codon, which is responsible for specific mRNA codon recognition, and the 3' end, to which the tRNAs corresponding amino acid is attached (by aminoacyl-tRNA synthetases). tRNAs cope with the degeneracy of the genetic code in two manners: having more than one tRNA (with a specific anti-codon) for a particular amino acid; and 'wobble' base-pairing, i.e. permitting non-standard base-pairing at the 3rd anti-codon position. Lineage: Eukaryota; Metazoa; Chordata; Mammalia; Artiodactyla; Bovidae. The record is from Rfam by way of RNAcentral. RNAcentral also lists the same sequence under 5 other names.
UCUGAUGGGUGAGACUGUAAAGAAUCUGCCUGUAAUGCAGGAGACCUGGGUUCGAUCCCUGCAUCAGGA